UUCCUGAUCUUCCCAAGGUACCAAAAGUGGCAAGUGGCCCAAAGGCCUCAGAAUUAAAAGCCAAGGUAGAAGCUGAGCAGCAUGCCCUUCGCCGAAUGCGUAUGUGCCUCAGAGAUAUUUGCAAUCGGAUACUGUAUGAUAAACGGUUUAGUGCCUUCCAUUAUCCUGUCACAGAUGAGGAUGCUCCAAAUUAUCGCACAAUAAUCCAGAAUCCUAUGGACGUGGCUACUCUGCUGCAGCGUGUCGACUGUGGUCAGUAUAUUACAUGCAGAGCAUUCUUACAAGACAUUGAUCUCAUCGUGACCAAUGCAAAGAUGUAUAAUGGAGAUGAUUACAAUGGUGCCAGGAUUGUUAGUAGGGCUUAUGAGCUUCGGGAUGCAGUACAUGGAAUGCUGUCACAGAUGGACCCUGCACUUGUUGCAUUCUGUGACAAGAUUGCUGCCCAAGGAGGUCCAGUUCAUGUACCAGAGGAUUUAGGGGGAUCUAUUUUCCCACCAACGCCAGUUGUGCAGCUGGCAACUGUUACCAGAGCAAGUGCCCGACUACGUAAUGUACAGCCAGAGGUUAAUCUGGAUCAAAGCU
Molecule: unclassified non-coding RNA, 582 nt
Filed under: Hevea brasiliensis (rubber tree)
Lineage: Eukaryota; Viridiplantae; Streptophyta; Magnoliopsida; Malpighiales; Euphorbiaceae
Source: RNAcentral